AUCUUCCUACGGGAGGCAGCAGAGAGGAAGAUUGGUAAAUGGUAGGGAGACUGAACCAGCCAAGCCGCGUGAGGGAGGAAGGUACAGAGUAUCGUAAACCUCUUUUGUCAGGGAACAAAGACUGGGACGCGUCCCCGGAUGAGUGUACCUGAAGAAAAAGCAUCGGCUAACUCCGUGCCAGCAGCCGCGGUAAUACGGAGGAUGCGAGCGUUAUCCGGAUUUAUUGGGUUUAAAGGGUGCGCAGGCGGUCUGUUAAGUCAGCGGUCAAAGCCCGGGGCUCAACCCCGGCCCGCCGUUGAAACUGG
This 305-nucleotide ribosomal RNA is filed under the name uncultured bacterium. RNAcentral's name for it is "bacterial SSU rRNA". It matches the Rfam family "Bacterial small subunit ribosomal RNA", at positions 333 to 636 of the family's 1533-position model. The record is from RNAcentral.